AUCCUACUCCCUCCGUCCGGAAAUACUUGCCAUCAAAAUGGAUAAAAGAGGAUGGAUCUAGACAUAUUUUAGUUUUAGAUACAUCUCGUUUUAUCUAUUAUGAUGACAAGUAUUUUCGGACGGAGGGAGUACUAG
Triticum aestivum (bread wheat) is the source of this 135-nucleotide non-coding RNA. The record is from Rfam. Lineage: Eukaryota; Viridiplantae; Streptophyta; Magnoliopsida; Poales; Poaceae.